CAGCGACGUCCACCCGGGCAUGCCUUUUCAGUUAUGCGUAAGGUUCUUGCCUUGCGCAUAUGACGGGUUUCCUGUGUUGCAUACCUAGUUGACGGAAUUUCUUUGUGAUACCAAUGUCCCUUUUUCGUCUUGUGUCGUCCACACGACGUCGGAUGAACCUCGAAGCGGUCUUUGUGCUCCAUCUUGCCAAUGUAUUUGCGUUGGCCAAAUGGCUCGCAGAGCGUCGCUUGGUCUCGUGGAUGCAGAACCUUAAUCGGGUGCCUGGCUCUUACGGCCUUGUGUAUUCCAUAUCAAGCGUUUUCGCUACUCUUAAACGACUGUCGUUUGCACGUCGACCUGUUGGUGUGCAAACGGCCUUGUCGAAG
Molecule: unclassified non-coding RNA, 365 nt
Filed under: Doniophyton anomalum
Lineage: Eukaryota; Viridiplantae; Streptophyta; Magnoliopsida; Asterales; Asteraceae
Description: partial miscellaneous RNA
Source: RNAcentral